UGCCCCCUGGCAAUGGGCAAAGAGACACCUUGUUGGUGGUGGUGUUCUUCUAUCAGUCAGGGGCAGAGCAGACGGCAGUUCUCUGUCUAUCCUAGCUUGAUGCCUGACUUGGUAGCCAAAGCUGUUUUUUGCCUAGGACUCAUAA
Molecule: small nucleolar RNA, 145 nt
Organism: Psammomys obesus (fat sand rat)
Lineage: Eukaryota; Metazoa; Chordata; Mammalia; Rodentia; Muridae
Product: small nucleolar RNA SNORA48
Exons: 1
Source: RefSeq, a predicted model, not a curated record